This 212-nucleotide unclassified non-coding RNA is filed under the name Hevea brasiliensis (rubber tree). Lineage: Eukaryota; Viridiplantae; Streptophyta; Magnoliopsida; Malpighiales; Euphorbiaceae. The record is from RNAcentral.
UUUCAAUAAUAAUUUUUACGAGCUUAAGAAAAAGAUAGUCUUGUAUAUCUAUUUAAUUCUUCAUGCACCAAUAAUUUUUUUUUUCCAAGGGGUUGUUUAAUUUCUUGUUGUUUGUAAUGGGUGAAAAUUACUUAAAAACACCCUUCUAUUGGUAUAUACUGUAUGAAUGCUUUAACCUAAUGGGUAUGGUACAGAAAUAAAAUACAUGCACG